AAUGAAUCUUCGAUCCUAGGUCACAGCAAGAACUGUUAGUAUUGGAUUGUUUUGGUCUUAAUUUUUUAAAAUUAAGACCAAAACAAUCCAAUACUAACAGUU
Macrobrachium nipponense is the source of this 102-nucleotide small nucleolar RNA. RefSeq annotates it as small nucleolar RNA SNORA69. The transcript has a single exon. Lineage: Eukaryota; Metazoa; Arthropoda; Malacostraca; Decapoda; Palaemonidae. The record is from RefSeq and is a predicted model, not a curated record.